CAUCCACCUGCUUUGACCUCUCAAAGUGUUGGGAUGACAGGUGUGAGCCAUCGCAUCUGGCCUAAAGUUGCUCCUUUUAGCAAGAGGUCAUACAAAAGGUGUGUCUUAUUUGCAUGCCUUUUCAUCAAAUUUUGCUGAGCAGUGUGUUUGCCAGAUUUUUGGUUGGCAUUGUUCUUUUUCUUAAAAAGUUAGCAUUGUAAUUAAAGCAAAAGAUCAAUUUGUGUGAAGUAACAAAUUAGUCAUGCUUAUUAAAUUUAAAACCCUUCUUAUGUGUACUUUUCUAGUUUUUUUUGGUUGUUGUUGAGGAUACAUAUCUUUGUAUUGGAUCCAGCCUAUUCUUUGUAGACAUUAUGUUUCUUUCCUUACACAUGAUGUUUUUUCCUGUUUAUCUGGUUAACUUCUUAGCUCAAAAACUAUCUUCUCUAAGCAUCCUUUUCUGACCUCCCUGUGUAUGCUACCUCCAUUCCUGCUAUUCCAUGUAUAUUGCUUUUAGCCAGGUCGUCAAUAAUCUAAAUCUUAGGGGUUAUAUUUCAGUUCUUAUUCUAUCUUGCUGUGAAACUGGUCAGUGUUAAUUUCUUUCUUUUCUUACAUACUCUUUUCCCACUUUCUUGGUUUUCUUCCUUUUGUUGUGUAGUUGCUGCUGCUUUUUCUUUCUUUGUGAUCUCCUUCUCUUCUGUUCAUUCCACUAAUGUUGAUGUUCCUCAGGUAAUUUCUCUGGGCUCCUUUGUUUUUCCAGCAUGUCAGAUCCUCCGAGGAAAAUGUCAUUUAUUUAAUAACUUCAGUUCUCAUCUAGUCAUUAUGACCCCCAAAUAAAAACUCUUAAAUUAGACCUUCCUUCUGUAUUCCAUACUAAUAUAUAGGUAUCUGCAAACAACUCAGGGAUUCUUCUCCAGUCUCCCUGAUGAUGUCAUUUCUUUGCUCAAAAAUGUUCAGUGCCCUUCUUGACUACCAAAUGUGUUGGCUCCAAACUAUAUUUCUAGCUUUAUAUUCUGCUUUUCCACAUACAGUCUUUGCUCUAUCUAGUUCAACUUGAUUUCUACUAAUGUAAUCUGAAACACCUCCCUUUUAUUUGCUCUUGCUUCAUACCUUCCUCUCUUAAAUAGAUCCUUACCUCUUACAGAUGCCCAGACAGCUCUGAUGUUUUCUUGAUGCUGGAACUGUCCCUGUUCCAGUUAGUCUAUAUUAAUCUUUCCUUUUUCUGAACCCCUAUAUUUUAUUGAUAUCCAUUUAAUAACAUUACUACAUUCUGUUUGUUGUAUGAUUAUUUAGUACUUGUCAGUCAUAUCCUUGAGGGCUGGAAUUAAGACACUUUCCCUUAUAGGACCCAGACACUGUACCUGGUAUAUGGUGGAUAUUCCUUGUCUGACGUGGUGUUUGACUGAGAGGUUGAGGAGGGACGCCUCUGAUAACUCUUUCAGUUAUCAUUCAUGUUAAGUUCUGGGAACACAACAGGGUUGAUUGCCGUUUCAUUGCUCAGCCUGUGUAUGUAGUUAUAGCCUAGAUUUAUGCUCAAUAUAUUGUCAAUUUCUUUUUGCUGUACUUUUAGUUCAACUUAAUCUUCUAAACUUCUUACUGAGUUGUUUAUGUAUUAGGUUCUUAUUCAUACUAUAUCAAGUCAUGACAAACUUUUCAGCUUAAAACGGUGAACCCCAACCUUUUUUUUUGCACCAGGGACUUGUUUUGCGGAAGACAGUAUUUCCAGGGAGUACGGUGAGGGGGCAGAUGGUUUCUAGAUAAAACUGUUCCAUCUCGGAUCAUCAGGCAUUAGAUUCUCAUAAGAAGCAUGCAACUUAGAUUCCUGGCAUGCACAGUUUCACAAUAGGAUUAGUGUUCCUACAAGAAUCCAGUGCCAUCACUGGUCUUGAUACAGGAAUGCUGGGAAAGGAAGAGAGUGGUCCCUUUAAAUAAGGAAGGGGGUUCCAGGCACGGUGGCUCACGCCUAUAAUCCCAGCACUUUGGGAGGCUGAGGUGGGUGGAUCAUUUGAGGU
This is a long non-coding RNA of Sapajus apella (tufted capuchin), 1988 nucleotides long. RefSeq lists it as uncharacterized. Lineage: Eukaryota; Metazoa; Chordata; Mammalia; Primates; Cebidae. The record is from RefSeq and is a predicted model, not a curated record. The transcript has 3 exons.